CCAAUUAUAGCUAGGAUUCGUAAAAAUUGUUUGAAAUUUAUAAUUUUUCUGGGUUUAGCAAAUUCUAGGUUUUUUCACUUCUCUAUCUAAUCCAUUAAUGGUCGACCUAAGUGGUGUUGCAUGGUUGAAAGAUCAUGAUAUUGCUGAAACCAAUUCAAACCAGAGGCUCUUCUCCAAUUCAGGGUUAGUUUGCGUUCUUUUUAAUUUGCUAUUGAUUUCUGUUUCUUUUUCUUUUUGCAGGUGAUUAUACAUGGAUAGUCAAAACUUGCGGUUCAUCUCUAGAUUGUCGGGUUUUAUUUGUUAUCCUGCAUUAGGGUUGUUAUUUACUUACCUAAUCUUAUAAAGACGAAGAACUAAUUUUUAUAUUUCUCGGAUCGGGUUGAUAUCUUGAAGCUAAAGAGUUCAUGUGAUUGAGUUUUUGUCUCACUUUCCUGUGGUCACAGAGACUACCAAGUACCAAGUUUAUCACUGGAGAAGAUUGCUGCGAUUCAAACAUGACGGUAUUGCAGUCUUAUCCCAUGUAUCUAGCUUCCACGAAUCUCACUUAUGGGUUCUCUAAUACCUUGCUCCAUGAGUUGUGUCGUCCAUGUGAAAGAUAUAUCUCUGCAGAACAAAGUGCACAGAACCGACAUCAGAUGAACCAUCAUCAGUGUAUAAUUUUGCAUCAAGUUUUCUCUUUGUUGGUAUUUUUAUUAGUAUAUUAAACUUCUCAAUGUAUGUUUUCCGCAAUGCAGUACAUACUUUUUUUUACAGUAAAUUAAAAACAAAAGGAAAUUAAACUUCUCAAUUUACUAUUGAUUUUGUUAAUCGAAAGUUUAAUAAGUCGAUUUUCUAAUUUUCUUACUCCAGCAGUUCUGAUAGCAACAGGUACAACUGCCAAAUCUAGGAGCAUCAAGGUGGGUAGUUGUUUCGAAUAUUUACGGACAACAUUGUAUCAGGCUUAAGUUCGAAAACAGUGAAAUUGAAGUGGUUAAUAUGGGACAGCAGGUUGAUCCUAAUGAGAAAAGGAUGACUAUUUUGCAACCACAGAUUCUUUCAUGGAAGAUUUAAGGAGGUAAAAGUAAACGUACCUAAUUUAAGGAGGUAAAAGUGAUCGUACCUAAUGGACUACGCAUUUUUUGGAAUAUUGUGUGAAUUAAUUAUUGUUAUUGUCAUGUCUAAUAGCGUACUUUGUCAACUCUGCUAUUGUCAUUUUUUGGGUAUACAGGCAUGGUUGAUGCAUUCUCUAAAACAGUUCGGAAUGAGGGACUUGGAGUAUUAUAUUAAGUUUGGUACUUGACUAACAAGAAAAUUUGAUUUGAGAUGCAACUGCGCUGCUUAUUGAAAAUGUAAGCAGUUCGAUAUUAGUCAUCUCUGAUGGUCUUCCAGUAACAAUAACUGUAUCCUCCGGUUGCAUCCUCCACGUUAUCCUCCGGUUGCAUCCUCCACGUUAUCUCGAAGAUUUGGUCUCCAACUCAUUGCAUGUUUCUGGGAACUUGCCCUGCGGAUGGGGUAGACAUGCAGACUGUCAAAUUCCUAGAUAUGUCUGGAAACUUUCCUCACGGAUGGGAUAUAUAUGCUUAGUUCAGUUUGUCAGGGGUAAAUCAGAAGGACUGUUGGAGAAGUUAUUUUCCUAAGCCAUGUUAUUAACCGUUUGUGUUUUUAUCCCUAAUAUUACAGGAAAGGUGUUACAUUUAAGACAAUUUGCUAGAUUUAUAGACCUCAAAUUUUCUAUGUCAUGCGCUCUCAAAUAUUUGUAAAUUGCAUUGAAUUAGAAUGAUUUGCAUACUCAUUGUCCUCUAAUUCACCCAUUUGUAGUGGAUAAUGGCUCAGUUUUGGAAAUCGCAUCUAAAGCCACACAACAUCAGUUCAAUGCACGAGAGAGUGCUAGGAUCUUCACAUCCAUGUGCCUCUUUAACUGACCACUAUGAUCCAGGAUGCAAUAGAGAUGAUUGCUUGCAGUUCACCAAUCUUGAUCCCAGUUUAUUAGAGGUAAUUGAUUUCCCCUUUGUAUUGUGUUAGUUUGAAGCUCAAGUUCAUUGUAGAAUGUUUUGAGUUUUGAUGUAAUAGUGAUAGAUAAAUCGUAUAUGGAAGAAUGGAAAAAACAAUUUUGAUGAUAUUAUGAUAACAAUGACUUACUUUAAAAAAGAAUAGAUCGCUUAAACAAGAAAAUGUGUAUCUAUUAUUCGGAUUGCUAUAAGGGGGCUACAUUUUCAGAUUGGAUGGUCUAAAAUAAAUUGCUACACAUUUAAUUACCAGCUGGCUUCUAUUGUCGGCUUUGUGUCCUCGAUGAAAUAAAAAUCCAGCUGGUAGUAUAACGUGAGCAGAAAAUUCCAGAAGUCGCUGCGUUGUGAUAUUUGCAGCAAGCAAUAUAAGUUUGCAAUAGAAUUUAAAGUUCACGUGAGCUUAGAUGACCACAAUCACAGAAAGGUAAAUAACUUCCCUUAAUGUCUUUUUCAGUUUACUUUCCAUGCUAGAAUAUUAGUUUUUAUCACUAAAUUGUACUUUUCGAUUGUGCAUAUAUGCAUCUAUUUGGCUUAAACGGAUACUUCACUUUAUAUUUAUAGUAUGCUUGCACCAGUUCGAAGAAAUUAGAAAUAGCCCCGUCCAUCAGAGUUGAAGUACAGGUUUUGAGAACUAAAUAUCUGGACAUGAAUAGAAAUGACAGUAGAGAUUGUCUCAGAGGAGAAUAGGAAGAAAUGACUUGCUAUAUUGGUAAUUGAAAAUGUGGACUAUACUUCCAUUAAUUACAUUAUAUUGAACCAUGUCUUUACUAGCUAUUUGACUCGGUUGCUUUACUAAUGAAGUAGACAUCUACUGUCCGUGGACAACUUCAUGCUCACUGCAUGCCAAUUGCUCAAUUGAUUUAAGUUAUAUUAUUAACAAUAGUCAACAAAAAACUUGCUGAGAUUGCUUGAGAAGAUCCCAAACACGCAAGGAAAUGGUGUAUUCCCUUAGUCAUAGUCCUUCUACUUUAUGUUUUUAAUUUUUUGUAACUGAAAAUGUUCUUCUACAUGAUUCAAUGAAAGCUACGUUAUAAAUGUUUUCUUACAAGUGA
RNA transcript from Papaver somniferum (opium poppy), 3037 nucleotides. RefSeq lists it as uncharacterized. NCBI's taxonomy places the organism in Eukaryota, Viridiplantae, Streptophyta, Magnoliopsida, Ranunculales, Papaveraceae. The transcript is spliced from 5 exons. The record is from RefSeq and is a predicted model, not a curated record.